GUGGAUUAGAUACCCUAGUAGUCCACGCCCUAAACGAUGCGAACUGGAUGUUGGGUGCAACUAGGCACUCAGUAUCGAAGCUAACGCGUUAAGUUCGCCGCCUGGGGAGUACGGUCGCAAGACUGAAACUCAAAGGAAUUGACGGGGGCCCGCACAAGCGGUGGAGUAUGUGGUUUAAUUCGAUGCAACGCGAAGAACCUUACCUGGCCUUGACAUCCACGGAACUUUCCAGAGAUGGAUUGGUGCCUUCGGGAACCGUGAGACAGGUGCUGCACGGCCGUCGUCAACU
This 289-nucleotide ribosomal RNA is filed under the name uncultured bacterium. Its description in RNAcentral is "partial 16S ribosomal RNA". It matches the Rfam family "Bacterial small subunit ribosomal RNA", at positions 773 to 1060 of the family's 1533-position model. The record is from RNAcentral.